RNAcentral lists this ribosomal RNA (460 nucleotides) under uncultured bacterium. RNAcentral's name for it is "partial 16S ribosomal RNA". It matches the Rfam family "Bacterial small subunit ribosomal RNA", at positions 338 to 795 of the family's 1533-position model. The record is from RNAcentral.
CCUACGGGAGGCAGCAGUGGGGGAUAUUGGUCAAUGGACGAGAGUCUGAACCAGCCAAGUAGCGUGAAGGAUGACUGCCCUAUGGGUUGUAAACUUCUUUUAUAUGGGAAUAAAACGUUCCACGUGUGGGAUUUUGUAUGUACCAUAUGAAUAAGGAUCGGCUAACUCCGUGCCAGCAGCCGCGGUAAUACGGAGGAUCCGAGCGUUAUCCGGAUUUAUUGGGUUUAAAGGGAGCGUAGGUGGAUUGUUAAGUCAGUUGUGAAAGUUUGCGGCUCAACCGUAAAAUUGCAGUUGAAACUGGCAGUCUUGAGUACAGUAGAGGUGGGCGGAAUUCGUGGUGUAGCGGUGAAAUGCUUAGAUAUCACGAAGAACUCCGAUUGCGAAGGCAGUUCACUGGACUGCAACUGACACUGAGGCUCGAAAGUGUGGGUAUCAAACAGGAUUAGAUACCCUUGUAGUC